This 918-nucleotide ribosomal RNA is filed under the name uncultured Bacteroidota bacterium. Its description in RNAcentral is "bacterial SSU rRNA". It matches the Rfam family "Bacterial small subunit ribosomal RNA", at positions 1 to 916 of the family's 1533-position model. The record is from RNAcentral. Lineage: Bacteria; Pseudomonadati; Bacteroidota.
GGAUCCAGACUUUGAUCCUGGCUCAUGAUGAACGCUAGCGGCAGGCUUAACACAUGCAAGUCGAGGGGCAGCGCGGGGCAGCAAUGUUCUGGCGGCGACCGGCGGAAGGGUGCGUAACGCGUGAGCGACAUGCCCGUUGCCCGGGGACAACCGGUGGAAACGCCGACUAAUCCCCGAUGGGACGGAGGCCCUCAUGGGUCUCCGUUGAAAGUUACGGCGGCGACGGAUUGGCUCGCGUCCGAUUAGCUUGUUGGCGGGGUAACGGCCCACCAAGGCUACGAUCGGUAGGGGUUCUGAGAGGAAGGUCCCCCACAAUGGAACUGAGACACGGUCCAUACUCCUACGGGAGGCAGCAGUGAGGAAUAUUGGUCAAUGGGCGGAAGCCUGAACCAGCCAUGCCGCGUGCGGGAAGGAGGCCCUAUGGGCUGUGAACCGCUUUUGCCUGGGGGCAAUAAGGGCGUCGUGCACGUCCGAUGAGAGUACCAGGCGAAUAAGCAUCGGCUAACUCCGUGCCAGCAGCCGCGGUAAUACGGGGGAUGCGAGCGUUAUCCGGAUUCAUUGGGUUUAAAGGGUGCGUAGGCUGUGCGUCAAGUCAGGGGUGAAAUUCCGGGGCUCAACUCCGGGGCUGCCCUUGAUACUGUCGCGCUGGAGUGCGGAUGCCGCCGGAGGAAUGAGUGGUGUAGCGGUGAAAUGCUUAGAUAUCACUCAGAACACCGAUUGCGAAGGCAUCUGGCGAAUCCGUAACUGACGCUGAGGCACGAAAGCGUGGGGAUAGAACAGGAUUAGAUACCCUGGUAUUCCACGCCGUAAACGAUGAUGGCUAACCGCCGGCGACACACUGUCGGUGGCCAAGCGAAAGCGAUAAGCCAUCCACCUGGGGAGUACGUCGGCAACGAUGCAACUCAAAUGAAUUGACGG